CAAUAGCCUAACGGCUGAACCAGCAACUUGGAGGAAUGAAUUGCGCAGGCUUAUUGUAGUAAUUAAUUAUUACAAUAUUAACUAUGUUAAAUAAAGUUCUAGAUAAAAUUAUGAUAAUGACAUUGUUUAUCUAUAAGUCUUGACCAAGUCACGUGCCAGCAGUCGCGGUAAUACGUGGAAGACAAGUGUUAUUCAUCUUUAAUUGGUUUAAAGGGUACGUAGACAGUUAAUUAAGCCAAAACAGGGACUGAUUAUACUAGAGUUUAAUGUAAGGAGGGGAGAACGAUGAGUGUAGAGAUGAAAUUUGUUGAUGCCAUUUUUGAGACUGGCAACGGCGAAAGCAACCUUUUAUGUUAAAACUGACGUUUAGGGACGAAGGCUCGAUCAACGAACAGGAUUAGAUACCCUAGUAUUGUGAGCAGACAAUGAUGAGUGUCAUAUAUAAGUAACAUUAUUUAAUAUAAAAUGCUUGUGUAUAAAUGAAAGUGUAAGCACUCCACCUCAAGAGUAAUAUGGCAACAUAUAAACUGAAAUCAUUAGACCGUUUCUGAAACCAGUAGUGAAGUAUGUUGUUUAAUUUGAUGAUCCACGGAAAACCUUACCACAAUUUGUAUAUUUAUAUAUAUAUAAGUACAAGCGUUGCACGGCUGUCUCCAGUUAAUGUCGUGAGAUCUUGGUUAGUUCCAUUAAAUUAACGUAAACCCUUAUUUUAUUUUUUAUAUAAAAUAGUUCGCCGCUAUAUUGGUAAUAUAUAUAUAUGGGACUAAGACAAGUCAUCAUGACCUGAAUAUUGUGGGCUA
Molecule: ribosomal RNA, 800 nt
Filed under: Gyalidea praetermissa
Lineage: Eukaryota; Fungi; Ascomycota; Lecanoromycetes; Ostropales; Graphidaceae
Description: SSU rRNA
Rfam family: Bacterial small subunit ribosomal RNA
Source: RNAcentral